This 814-nucleotide small RNA is filed under the name Pan troglodytes (chimpanzee). RNAcentral describes it as "retained intron". Lineage: Eukaryota; Metazoa; Chordata; Mammalia; Primates; Hominidae. The record is from RNAcentral.
GGGAGGUGGAGCCCCUGGGGAGGGGCUGCUACCAGCCUGCAUGCUCCUCCAGCACCAGGUAGUGCUGUUCUAUCCCCAGACUACUCACUGCUGCUCACCUUCAUCUACAACGGGCGCGUGGUGGGCGAGGCCCAGGUGCAAAGCCUGGAUUGCCGCCUUGUGGCUGAGCCCUCAGGCUCUGAGAGCGGCAUGGAGCAGGUGCUGUUCCCCAAGCCUGGCCCACUGGAGCCCACACAGCGCCUGCUGAGCCAGCUUGAGAGGGGCAUCCUAGUGGCCAGCAACCCCCGAGGCCUCUUCGUGCAGCGCCUUUGCCCCAUCCCCAUCUCCUGGAAUGCACCCCAGGCUCCACCUGGGCCAGGCCCGCAUCUGCUGCCCAGCAACGAGUGCGUGGAGCUCUUCAGAACCGCCUACUUCUGCAGAGAUCCUCCAUGUAGCCUAUGCAUGGCACUCCUGCGCUUGUGUGUUGCAUAUCCUGUGUGGCCAUAUGCCCAGCCUGGCAGCUACCUGGCAGCUCUCCUCCAGCCAAGACAAUGGAAGAGGUGGUUCAGGUAGAGCCCAGCACAAGAGUGUCAUAUCUUGGAGAACACCAUCACACUGAAGCAUGCAGUCACUAUGUGAAGGUGCACAGAAGAAUUGGCACAGAGAUUUUGAGCCUCAUGGCCUUCUCCUACAUACACACAUUUGGGAGAGCAGGCACACAUCACACACAGUGGCCCUGGCUGUACCGUCUCUACCACACUCCAGGCAUGCCUUAGGGUUGCGCUUCUCUCCCAUCCAAUUCCAGCUCCUACUCAAUUCUAAACCUGACCUUAAG